This 454-nucleotide long non-coding RNA is filed under the name Salvia miltiorrhiza (redroot sage). RNAcentral's name for it is "long non-coding RNA (SMIL_LNC002193)". Lineage: Eukaryota; Viridiplantae; Streptophyta; Magnoliopsida; Lamiales; Lamiaceae. The record is from RNAcentral.
AAAUAUAAACCUUAGACAACAAUUAAUAGAGAAGUAACUAACAACCUACUAAAUACUGAAACAUUAAAUAACGAAUUGAAAAUACUGAGCAUUAAAUCUGCUAACUAAAUUUAGCGAUUUAAAAUAACAUAAAUAAAAUCAAAUAUUACAAAGUGCAAUAAGCGUAAAUCAAUCUUCAAAUAAGAGAAGGCAAAUUAAAUACAAAUACAAAUAAUAUCCAACACAACUUUCAAUUCAAACGGAAAUUGAAGUGAAACUCUAAAAUAAAUAAAUACUUGCAGAACAUAAUACCUGAAAGAUUUCAAAAACAAUAAAGCUUUAAUAAGCAAUACUUCAAGAAAACAAAACCUUAGUGUUUUUCGUUUAGCAGAAAAUAUUCGAGUGUUCAGAUAAUGGAGAUAAGCUAUCUUAUAUAGAAGGAAAAAGGACUCUGCCAAUGCGAUGAUUCGCUGGA